AAGCCUUGAGGCUGCGGUGGUGGACAAGGCAGGAUCCCACGGGGCAGCACCACGGCCACCCGCCGGGUAGGAGGCACCACACACCCCUGGAGCCAAGGAAAUCCACACUGGUGGUGCCAAACCCGAGGGUCUGCAGGGGUGGUGAGGCUGUCGGAAAUGUGAGAGCGGGGGGAAAUACUCAUCUGGUGUCAUCAAAUCCAGCUAAAGCACGGCGAGCGCAGCGCGGCUCGUGCUGGCACAGGGAACCCCUUUGUGCAGGGGUUUCACCGCUAACGAGGCUGCUAUCGCCGCGCCAGGGAAGUCCUUGUGGUAUAGCCUAAUCCGGAGAUUGAAUUACCUACCUGCCUCUAAUUAGCACCUCCUAAAAUACAGGAUGAAUCAAAGCAAUCAUAAUUUGGAAUGGCCUAAAGUAAACCGAGGCGUGAUUUAGGCUGAAUCAGUACAGCUAGAGCUGAACUGCUGAGAGCCGCUCCGAUUUGAUGCGAGUUCCCGUUAAUUCGCUCACUUAAAUCACUUCUUAAACGAACCCUAAAUAAGGGCAGGUCCCUUUUCUCUCACGUGAGGCUUCCAGAAAGCUCACGUGCCCUAGAGUCUCACUCUCAGCCUUACUCUGCCGAUAAUGACGUGCUUGCCGUGCUGCCACUGCGCGUGUUUGCACACACAGAAAUACUGGAUUCAGAAGGGUGUCUGGACUACUAGGGGCAACUUCAGUUCCUGUCACCUCUUACAAGCACCUUCAGCAUCACACCACUGCAGACAGAGGACCCUCCUUAGACCUGACAUAACACACAGGGGGCUUCCUGGUGCUGCCUUUGGGGUUCUGCCAGCUCGACGCAUACAAACCCAACGGAAGGGGCUCAACUCUCAUAAAGCUUUCCCCGUGGGGAGCUGUGUCUUUUUGUCACCGUACAGCAGAGAUCGAUGCAGCUGCUGCAUUAAUGCUGCCCACCAGCAGCCGCAUACCUGCUUCCCAGCGGGCUGUCCGCAGGUCCCCCAGCACCCUAAAUACCAAAGCAUCAGGUAGGGAAACUGAGGUAACAAAGGACAUGUGUCAGAGCACACACCCAGCAGAGGUGCAAAUACACUUCAGCUUUCCUGAUACACAACUCGGUGUUUUGCUACACCAGUCUGUCCUGUCAAGCGUUUCCCUGGAUCAUGAGGUAAGAUGAAAAAAAAUCUUAUUUUCCAUAGCUAAGAGGGCUUUAAUCAAAGUAAUUAUUGGAACUGAUCUGAUUAGGAAGUAAUGUAUUUAGAAAAAGUUAAGGCUGCCAACUGGGAAACUACUACCCAGCCUCUGAUUGCUUUAGAUGUGGAUGAUUUCAUAGUUAAUUCUUCAAGUGUUAUUGCAUGUGUCUUCAUCUAUGAAUGUAAAAUAUUUUUCUAAAAUAAUAAAUAAUCGCUAUCCAGGCAACUCACCAUGUAAACAGCACGCUAGGCUGGCGCACUGACAAGGAGCUGUGUGCGAAGUUCUCCUCCGAGCAGUCAGAGGCGAUGCACUGCACUGCAACUGACACCGCACUUGAGCAACUUAACCUGUGGUUAAAGCACUCCGUAGGGCUGACACUGUCAAAACCUACGUGAAUUACACGGCUACUCCUUCUCAACCAGCUUGUAAAGAGCUUACUGCUCCUCUGCAGGAUCAGAGCAGCAUGAUUCAAACACUCUGCCCCCUAAAAACUGUAAGUCAUUAUGAAUUUGAUUAAUCAGCUCUGCGCUUAUGGUGCACGUUUGCUUUUUCUGAAGACCUAACUGGGAUGGAUAAACAUCAGAUGAGCUCUUCACAUACAAUAGAUGGAAACAAUCUUCCGCUAAAACUUUACAAGAGAUUGGUGCCAACGCUGGAGCAGUAAUGCCAGCUGCCAGCAAAAGGAAAGAAUUUUGUUCAGAUUUGGUCCUUUACUUCCUGGGCUAAUAAGAGCAAGAAGCAUCACAUCUGAGCUGAUCAGAGCAAUGAAUCAGAAGGGAAAGGAGGAUUGCUGAGAGGAAUGCUCCUGAGAAAGGGGGAAUAAGGCUGGAGUCAGGGGGAGAAUUUGGGGGGCAGUCUGUGGCUGGGGGUACUCCUGAGCUGAUGCUAGCAAGGUCCAAAAGCUGCGGUCCCUAGGAAUUGGCUCCCCUAGGGAGACCAGGCUGAAAACCCACGGAUGGGUAAGAGCUUGUACAGGCUUUGAGUAGGGAAGAGUCGUGACCCCAGGUAUUGGAACAGGCAGCUUCAGAGUUAAACAGCUACGCUGAGUCCAACUCUUCAGUUGCGAAUUUGAAUCCAUCCUGAAGACGUUCUGGAACUUCCAGUUACCCCUUCUAAAGGACAAGAAGUCUCGAGCUUCUGUCAGAGAAUACAGAUGUCUAGAAACGCACAUUAAUUUUAAAUUUCUGCCAAAUUCCAAUCCUACUCGAUGCAUGCUGUUUUGCCUUCUCUUGAGAGCUCUUGCCAAAAUAGUUUGACUUCCAGUAUUAGCUCCUAACAAAAAUGUGCAGGAACUCCAAGCUCUUACUCCACUUACACCUAUGAAAAAGUUUAUUCCACGGGAAUGAGAUAUCUGCACAGAAAACUGUCAGAAGAGGAAAAAGUGAUUGUUAGGCUUCUGGAAACAGUAUUUUUGUUGGUGUCAACCUCACUAGCAUUGCAAGUGAUCAAAGACAACAAAUGCCAAUAGAGAAUGGAAAAACUCCGUAAGAUGGAGGCUAACUUUCCUUUUGGAUUGGGUAGGAGUUUUAAUCACUCGAUGCUACUCAGCCUGCAGCAGUGUCAUGUCAGUCUGCCGGGGAAUCAACGCCGGGGAAGGAAGCUACCAACACUGGCGGUGGAAGUCUGGAGAUGGAAAAUUACCUUUAAAUUAUGAAAAUGCAUGUGCAGCUCCAGCAUAUGUGGAAUGUUUACAUCGCUAGAAGAAAAUGAUCUAACUCUGCCGUUAAAUCUGCGGGACAGAAUGACAGCAGAAUUUCUUCUUUAACGAAGGAACUUUCUCAGAUGAAACAGGAAUGUCAGCUUCAGUGCAUACUCCGCUGACUGGAACAGGAUCAAGUCUUAACUAAGUUCCACACAAUGUUUUCAGGGGAAAAGUGGAGAAUGUUUUAUGGAAUUCAAGCCUGGAUUUGGCUUGCAUCCUAGAACAUAUAUCUUGUUAUGAAAACUGCUGAAACACUUUUAAGUGGGCAAGCCGCAAGUGUCCUUGGAGCUAUCCACUGCACGGGAAGUCACACAGGAGAAACUGAGGCAGAAAGGCUCCGGUUUGGGGGGGUGGAGGGGGGGGACGGAGG
Molecule: long non-coding RNA, 3258 nt
Filed under: Anas zonorhyncha (Eastern spot-billed duck)
Lineage: Eukaryota; Metazoa; Chordata; Aves; Anseriformes; Anatidae
Description: lncRNA (ENSAZOG00000004231.1)
Source: RNAcentral